UGCUCGAGUGGCGAACGGGUGAGUAACACGUGAGUAACCUGCCCUUGACUUUGGGAUAACUUCAGGAAACUGGGGCUAAUACCGGAUAGGAGCUCCUGCUGCAUGGUGGGGGUUGGAAAGUUUCGGCGGUUGGGGAUGGACUCGCGGCUUAUCAGCUUGUUGGUGGGGUAGUGGCUUACCAAGGCUUUGACGGGUAGCCGGCCUGAGAGGGUGACCGGUCACAUUGGGACUGAGAUACGGCCCAG
This 245-nucleotide ribosomal RNA is filed under the name uncultured Actinomycetales bacterium. RNAcentral's name for it is "partial 16S ribosomal RNA". It matches the Rfam family "Bacterial small subunit ribosomal RNA", at positions 88 to 334 of the family's 1533-position model. The record is from RNAcentral. Lineage: Bacteria; Bacillati; Actinomycetota; Actinomycetes; Actinomycetales.